AAAAGAAAACAAAGAUCGAUUGAAUUUAUUGUGAAAAUCUACAAUAUGCUACAUUUAAAUUUUUAGAAUAAAAUUGUAAAGUAAAUAAUGUUAUUUAUCUUGGAAUUUAUUAAUUCUUUGUCUUCAACAUUAAAAUGACUUUUGAAGAAGCUCAAAAGGAGACUUUAUCUUCCUUCACCCCCAUAAUUUCUAAGUACACCCUCAUAAUUUUUAAAAUAACCCUUUUUUGAACAUGUUUUUAGAAACAGCUCUUCUUAAAGAUGAUUAGUAAGAUUUUUCCUUUACUUAAAAUUAUCCACAAUUUGCAUUAAUUCAUACGACAAUGCUACCCACAUGAAUAAACAUUGUCCAUGAACUUUGAAUGAACUAGUCACCACUUUGUAAGUAGAUAACAACAAAGAUGUAUUAGGUAAGCAUUUCAUACAAUGCAACUUAUAAUUUAAUAUCAACAUCAUAUAAUAAACAAAAGAAGAAUUAUAACACGAUAAAUAAUAAGAUGGAGAACAAAAUGAGGAAAGUAUCCACAGCUGAAAAUGUAAAGUAUCCUUAAAAAAAUAUGGAAACGUAUAGCAAAAACAACAUUAAUGAUUAUUCCAACAUAUAUUUAUAGAGUAGAGGUAAAGAUCAACACAAUUCAAAAGAUCAACCCACCAAAUGUUCUUAAGUUGUGUUCUUAAGUCAUUUGAUGUCAUAUUGAAAAGUCUUGUCAAUGUUAUAAUACUAGGCCUUUGGUGUUUUGGAAUAGUCAAAAUAGAAACCAAAGAGUGUGACAAAGAUGAUGAGUAAAAUGCAAAAAUCAGAAUGAAGUAAUUCACAAGUAAUCUCAAACACUUCAUAAUAUCAAAUUUAGAAAGGUUUAUUCACACAAGUAAUAGCAUUUUUUUCAUUGAAUCCUAAUAAUAUAUAAUUGUCUUAGCCUUUUAACCUCAACAAUGGAAAGUGAAAAUUUCAUAAUAGUAACAACAAGUGUAUCAAUCUGAUGUAAAGAAUGUUAACAUAAUAUUUUCGCUUGUACUCAUUUGAUAGACUUCUUUUGCCAAAGUUCAACCCUACUAUCAAUGUAUUCAACAGACAUGAAUAACACGAGUUGCAACUAUUGCAUUGUUGAUAAAUUCUCUAACAAUAGACAUUCUUUAAUCCAUAAUUUUGAACCGAAUGAAAAUUCUAUGAUAAGCAAUAGACAAAAUUCUAAACGAGAAGGAAUCCCCUCCCUAAACCUAAACUUUUAUAUGCAGUCAUUCCUUACACUUCAAAUUUAGGAAAUGUCAAUGACCUGAAUGUCACUAUAACCAUAAUGUCAUAUAAUUAUGUACCAAUGAACUUCAAUUUAGCAAAAUUAUUUAAAUAUACAACUAUCUUAAAAGAGGGGAAGAGUUGUGCAAUUACUUCACCCAAUAAUUUCCAAAACGACUAAUUGAGACAAUGAAACAUUUUGCAGUCAAAAAAGACAUAAGUCAUUAAAGUUUUCAAUCUUUCAAAUAUUUGUGUACCUGUAACUUAUCAUGUACAUUUAUAUCUUUAUAUUUAACAUUCUUGUGCAUAUGAACUCUAAUUUUUUUUAAGGUGUUUUUGUUCUUCAAAUAUGCCCUAGAAGCAUCAUUAAUGUCGAAUGAUGUGAGCAAAUUUGUUAAUCUAUACUACCUAAGUCUUCGUGUUUCAUUUUUAAUUAUGAAUUUAAAAUUGGUGGUUGAGACCAAUGAUGCUUCUAGGGCAUAAAAAAAAACACCUUAAAAAAUUGGAGUUUAUCUGAACAACAACAAUGCAUCAUAAAGACAUAUAUAUACAGAAAGAUACAUAUGUGCUUAAAAAGUUAGAGUCACACAAAUAUUGGAAAGAUAAGAUUGAAAACUUAUUUCUUCUUUGGCUGCAAAAUGAUUCACUGUCUCAAUUAAUCGUUUUGAAAAUUAUUGAAUGAAUAAAUUGCACAACUCUUCUAGUCGAUCACACUUUUAAGUAGUUGUCUUCCUUUUUAAUAUAUUGUAUUUAAACAAUCUUACUAAAUUCGAGUCUAUUGGUACAUAAUCGUACAGAAGUAUGCUUUUACUGUCAUUUAGGUAGUUGACAUUUCCUAUAUUCUUGACCUGAAUGAAUGCAUAUAAAAUUUGAGGAAGAAGGCUUUCCUUUCCUUUAGAACUUUGUUUGGAAAAAUGUCCAUUUCUUAUCGCAAAACUUGCACUUGUAAGUAGAUAACAACAAAGAUGUAUUGGUCAAAUCUGGUUUUAUGACCAACUUAGUCAUUAAUCAAACAAAAUGUUACUUUAAUUUUCUUAAAUAUAAUUAGUAUUUUAAAAAGGAGAUUCGUUCUUAAGUUUAUUUGUAAGGUGAACACGAGAUUAUUUUAGUGAACACGAGAUUAUUUUAAUUUAAGUUACAUUUUCUCCUAGUUUAAUUAAACUUUUUAGAUCAAGUCACUAUUGUAGCAAUUCAUUUUCCUACUCUACUAUGAUUUUCUUUGUAAUUUAUUAAAUUAAUUUAAAAAAAAAACUAUAUAUUUUUAUCACAGACAGUGUUGAUAACAAGACAUCAGUAUUUUUGUUCCUCAUUACAACCGCACCUUGCUGCUGAAUAUAGCAACAUACAAGUGUUAUUUAGGCAAGCAUUUCAUACAAUGCAACAUCAUGUAAUAAACAAAAGAAGAAUUAUAACAUGAUAAAGAAUAAGAUGGAGAACAAAAUGAGGAAAAAUCCACAGCCAAAAAUGUAAAGUAUCCUUAAAAGUAUGGAAAUAUAUGGCAAGAACAACAUUAAUGAUUAUUCCAACAUAUAUAUUUAUAGAGUAGAUCUAAAGAUCAAUACAAUUCAGUUUGUCAUUUGAUGUCACUAGCCCUUUGGUGUUUUGGAAUAGUCAAAAUAGCAACCAAACAGUAUGACAAAGAUGAUGAGUAAAAUGCAAAAAUCAGAAUGAAGUAAUUCACAAGUAAUCUCAAACACUUCAUAAUAUUAAAUUUACAAAGGUUUAUUCACAGUAUGGAGUAAUAGUCUUUUUCCAUUAAAUCCUAAUAGUAACAAUUGUUGCCUUCUUUACCAAACUUCAAACCUACUAUCAAUGUAUUCAACAGACAUGAAUAACACGAGUUGCAACAAUUGUAUUGUUGAUAAAUACUCUAGCAAUAGACAUUCUUUAAUUCAUAAUUUUGAACAGGGUGAAAAUUCUACCAUAAACAAUGGACAUUCUUUCAAAAAAAUUCUAAGAGAGAAGGAAAGUCUCUUCCUAAAUUUUUAUAUGCGGUCAUUCCUUACACUUAUUCAUGUCUUCAAAUUUAGGAAAUGUCAAUGACAUGAAUGGCGCUAUAACCAUGAUGUCAUAUAAUUAUGUAUCAGUGUACAUCAAUUAAGAGAAGACAACUAUCUUAAAGAAGGGAGAGUUGUGCAAUUACUUCACCCUCGGAUAAUCUAAUUUCAUGAAGGUUUAGAUGGUCCAGAUGAACCAGUUAGCUCACAUCAUUCGACAAAUGCUAAAAUUUUUGACAACCGCCCAACAGAAGACUUUCUAAGUUCAUCAAAGAAUCGAGAAACUUAGCAAUUAAUGUGUAAGAAAGGUUCAAAUAUUGAACAUGUUUUAUCUUUAGUAUUGAAUCUGGAAGACUGGACAACUUAAGCUUUGCUAGAGAAAAAAUGUUCUCACAUGUUUCAAUAAUUGCUCUAAUGAAUCAAAACCCAAGUCUAAUACUUACCUAUAUCAUAAAAUAAAUAUAUAAUAUUUUCUUAAGAUACAUUAAAAAUUGAAAAUCCAUUUAUGCAUAACUGAAUUUUUAAGCCAUCGUUUGUGCAAACCCAUGCUUAAUGUCAAGAAUUAAAAGACUAGAAACCUCAUUUUCUUCCAUUAAGUAUAUUGAGACUAACUUUUUAAUACAUUAUCAGCAUUUUUAAAACAUGGAGAAGAAUCUUAUUAAUUAUCACCUCUAUAAAAAGCAAGAUUCCAUGUACGACGUCAAAACGAAUAUAAGAAGUGAUAACGAAGGUCUUGGUAUAUCUCAUUAGCAGGCUCGUUUGUCUACUAAGUAUAAGUGAUAACCAAUGACAUGGUAUCUAAGACGUGGAUGCAUACUAUGAAAUAUAAGUUAAGGAGGCAUAGAGAGCUGCAACACUUGAAUGACAUGACAUUACCAUUAGAUAUCUCACGCAAGGAACUCAUUAUUCGAUAUAUCAUCUAAUACAAUGAGGAAUCUUCUAUCAUGUAUUAUUUCUUUUAAUUGGAUCUGGAGUAGAUCCAAAUAUGUUAUAUUACGUUUUCAUUGUCUAAGCCUAUUAUGUAAUAAGAAUUCUUUUCUAAUUCUUACAUUGUCAAACUCAGUGUCAUAUACUUCAAAUUCAUCCAUAAAAGAAGUCGUUGAUACAAACAAGGCGGGCAACUUGUCUAUAAUAUUUACACGACAAAACAGAUCUUUUCGAGCAUCCUUGAGUGCAUUCCAUUUGAAUUUAAAACAAUUUAGAUCUUCUAAUUACUCACGAAAGCAUGAGACAAUUCUUUUUUUUUUACACGUUUAAAACUUUUAGGCUUAGAAACAACAUUCUCAACUAAGUAUGCCUCUGAGCAUGCUCACUAACGCCAAAGAAUAAAAAUGUUAUUAUUAAGUUUGAAAGGAGUUGUAAAUGACGUAGAAGAAAAAGAAUUGGUUAAUGCAUUCGUGAGUACUUGGCUAGAAAAUCUAAAACAUGUAUGAUAUACACAAAAUAUUGGAAAUUGAGUCUAACUAGUUCGGCAAUGUAUUCUCUUCUUUAAAUUCAAAUGAGAUACACUCAAGGAUGAUUAAAAUAGUAUAUCAAUAGUAACAAUCCAAUAAAAAUUCUAUUUUGUCUUGUAAAUAUUAUAGAUGAGCUGGUUUUAGGUUGAUGAAUCUAAAGUAUAUGGGAGAAAAAGUAAACAAAGAAAAAACAUCAUGAGUUGGUUUUAGAAGAAUUCUUAUUACAAAACCAAAGAAAAAGUAAUUUCUAUAUUUGUUAUUGUUGGUGUGCCGGGAAUUGGAAAAAACAUCAUUAUUUCAAUUUUGUUCAAUGAUAACGAUGUUAAGAUCAUGAGCUUAUAUCUCACACCACAGAGAAAAGUUUUGUUGGAGAUCACAAAAAAUAUUUUAUUUAUGUGUAUGACAAAUUAUGAGUGUCACGUCAUUCAAGUGUUGCAGCUUUUUAUGCCUCCUUAAUUAGUUAUAUUUCAUACCUGUCAUUUGAAGAUAAUUGCUUAUAAUACGCUGAACAUUAUACAUGAAAUCUUGCUUUGAAUAUUGUUCUACAUUUCCUUGUGGAUUUAAGAUAAAGAGAUGGCAAAUAAUAAGAUUAUGGAAGAUAAAAGGUCUUUUCGAAUGUUUUGAAAAUGCUGAAAUGAUUAAAGAGAUAAAAAAAUGUAUCAAAAAGUUAGUCUCAAUAUUCAUAAUGAGAGAAGAUGAGGGUUCUAGCCUUCUAAUUCUUGACAUUGUGGAUGGAUUUGCAUAGAUGAUGGCUGAAUUUUCAUUUGUUGAAUGUAUCUCAAAAAAUAUCAUAUAUUUAUCCUAUGAUAUAGGUAAGUAUUAGAUUUUGAUAGAUUUUAGUUGAUUAGAGCAAUUGAGAACCCUGUUGACAUUUGAUGUUUUAAGCAUGAUUUCCUGUCUAAAGAACCAUGCUAACUUUUCUUGAAAUUGAAAUGUGUGUUAUAACAUUUUUCUUCUAACAAAGUUUAAGUUGCCUAGUCUUUUCAGAUUCAAUAAUAAAAUUAAAGCAUGUUCAAUAUUUGAACCUCUCAUACACAUAUAAUUGAUAAGUUUCCCGAUUUCAAUAUUUGAACCUCUCAUACAAUAAAAGAGGUUUUUGUUAUGGAGUGGCAAAAUUUUCAAUAUUUGUCGAAUGAUACGUGAGCAAACUUGUUCAUCUAGACUACCUAAACCUAAAUCAAUCUCAUUAUGUAAGCUCUCACAAUUUAUAUGCAUUAAUAAUGAUUUUAAUAUUGAUGUGUUGGAAGUAUUUCUAAGUCUUCGUGUUUCAUUAUCAAUUAUUAAUUUAAAAGAGAUGGUUGAGACCAAUGAUGCUUAUAGAACAUAGUAAAAAAACAAAAAAACACCUUAAAAAAUUGGAGUUUAUCUACACAACAACAAUGCAUCAUCAAAACAUACACAUACAGAAAGAUGCAAAUGUGCUUAAAAAGUUACAGUCACACAAAUAUUUGAAAGAAAAGAUUGAAAACUUUAACGAUGACUUAUUUCAUUCUUGGCUGCAAAAUGAUUUAUUGUCUCAAUUAGUCAUUUUCGAAAUUAUUAAAUGAAUAAAUUGCACAACUCUCCCCUCUUUUUGAUAGUUGUCUUUCCUUAAUCGAUUGUAUUUAAACAAUUUUACUGAAUUGGAGUCCAUGGUACAUAACUGUAUAGAAGUAUGGUUAUACCGUCGUACUCAUCUAUCAGAUCAAUUGAUUAUAAAUGUAAUAUUACUUAUAAGCAAUACCAACGCCCAUUCAAGGAAUUCGAUCAUGUAAUAUUCAUCUUGACAAGCAAUUAUCUUCAUACUAUGAUAAAAUAUGUAUAAAAAGCACAAGGGCUGUAGCUCAGUUAGGUAGAGGUCGUUGACAUUUCCUAUAUUCUUAACCUGAACAAGUGUAAGGAAUGAUUACAUAAAAAAUUUGAAGGAGGAGACUUUCCUAUCUUUCAGAACUUUGUUUGGAAAAAAAAUAUCCAUUCCUUAUCUUAAAACUUGCAACUAAUCUAAAUUAUGGAUUAAAGAAUUAAAGAAAGUUCACUGCUAGAGGAUUCAUCGAUAAUCAAAUAGUAGGGUAGAAAUUUGGUCAAGAAGUCUAUCAAAUAAUAUGUUAACCUUUUCAGGUCAGAUUGAUACACUUAUUAUUAUUUCGAAAUUUCACUUAUCAUUAAUGUGGCUGGAAGGCUAAGACUAUUAUAUAUUAUUAAGAUCCAAUAAAAAAAGAGUAUUACUCCAUAGUAUGAAGAAAUCUUUCUAAAUUUCAAAUUUGAUAUUAUGAAGUGUUUGAGAGAUUACUUGCGAAUUAUACUAUCUUGAUAUCUGCAUUUGACUCAUUACUUUUGUCAUAGUGUUUGUUUGCUUAUUUUACUCUUCCAAACACUAAAGACCAAUUAUUAGAACAUUGACAACACUUUUGUGGAUGUGACAUCAGCAGUUUGUGGUUUGUUUGCCACCAACUUAAAUAAUAGAAGACAUGUGACAAACUUUCAAACAGAUAUAUUGUGAUGUAUACAUUUUACUUUAUAAAAAACAUAUGUUGAAAUAACCAUUCGUAUUUUUAAGGGUACUUCACAUUAUCACAUCAAUAAUGUUAUAAUUCAUAAAAUAAUUCUUCUAUUUAUUACAUGGUGUCAGUAGCAAAUUAUAGGCUGCAUGUUAAUGUAUGUAACUACUAGACCGUCUAGUUUGACGAUUUACUGUGAUUAGAAAUUCAGAUUUAACAGAAAUAACACUUGGCAUGUUUCUAUAUUCAACAAGGUUUAGUUGAAAAGAAAUAAAAAAUGUCGUACAAGAACAAAAAAUAUUGUUGUAAGUUCUCUCAGUAAAUUUUUUUUAUU
Molecule: long non-coding RNA, 7495 nt
Filed under: Phaseolus vulgaris (common bean)
Lineage: Eukaryota; Viridiplantae; Streptophyta; Magnoliopsida; Fabales; Fabaceae
Description: long non-coding RNA (PVUL_LNC000009)
Source: RNAcentral